CACGUAGUUAGCCGUGGCUUUCUGAUUAGGUACCGUCAAGAUGUGCACAGUUACUUACACAUUUGUUCUUCCCUAACAACAGAGUUUUACGAGCCGAAACCCUUCAUCACUCACGCGGCGUUGCUCCGUCAGGCUUUCGCCCAUUGCGGAAGAUUCCCUACUGCUGCCUCCCGUAGGAGUCUGGACCGUGUCUCAGUUCCAGUGUGGCCGAUCACCCUCUCAGGUCGGCUACGUAUCGUCGCCUUGGUAAGCCGUUACCUUACCAACUAGCUAAUACGGCGCGGGUCCAUCUAUAAGUGAUAGCAAAACCAUCUUUCACUUUAGAACCAUGCGGUUCUAAAUGUUAUCCGGUAUUAGCUCCGGUUUCCCGAAGUUAUCCCAGUCUUAUAGGUAGGUUACCCACGUGUUACUCACCCGUCCGCCGCUAACUUCAAAGGAGCAAGCUCCUUAUCUGUUCGCUCGACUUGCAUGUAUUAGGCACGCCGCCAGCGUUCAUCCUGAGCCAGGAUCAAACUCU
This 517-nucleotide ribosomal RNA is filed under the name uncultured Staphylococcus sp. Its description in RNAcentral is "partial 16S ribosomal RNA". Lineage: Bacteria; Bacillati; Bacillota; Bacilli; Caryophanales; Staphylococcaceae. The record is from RNAcentral.